This is a long non-coding RNA of Acanthopagrus latus (yellowfin seabream), 568 nucleotides long. RefSeq lists it as uncharacterized. NCBI's taxonomy places the organism in Eukaryota, Metazoa, Chordata, Actinopteri, Spariformes, Sparidae. The record is from RefSeq and is a predicted model, not a curated record. The transcript is spliced from 4 exons.
AUUUCAGACACCAGGAUUCAUCAGGAGGACUUCCUUCAGCUGUGGCGCCUGAUCUUCCACAUCUUUGCAACCCUGUCGGGACAGAAAAAGGAAACACAGGCUAAACUUGAGAACGCUACAGAUAAGCAACCCUAAUACUGACAGAGAGCUGAAUGACAGACAUGGCGAUCAUCGUGGUGUCCAUGGAAGUCAGCAAAGUCUGAUGGAUGAGAAAUUCAAUCAAGAGAAGAAACAUUUACUGUUAUUUAAACUCAUUUUCACUCCUGCAAUUCAGCACAGAGACACUAGCAAACUGAAAGUAGUUCAGUAAAUUGACUCAGCUACAAAUCUGAGAGAUGCUUCUUUCCUCCUCAAUUCAUCCUCGGCACUCAUCCACAAAAAGCGAUUUCAUUUAUUACCUAUCUGACCUGGACAAGUCGGACUCCAACAUAGUGACAGUUAAACCUCAGCAGCAUUCUCACCUGGCCAUAGAGAGCCACAUUUAUGCAGUUGUCCUCGUAAUAAUCGGUAACAUUCCAGCUCUGGUCACACAUCCAGAGGAGAGAGGCGUUUGACAGGUCUACAAGAU